UACGGGGGGGGCAAGCGUUGUUCGGAAGUACUGGGCGUAAAGGGUGCGUAGGCGGCUUUUUAAGUCGGAUGUGAAAACUCUGGGCUCAACCCAGAGACUGCAUCCGAAACUGGAGAGCUUGGGUUCUGGAGGGGAAAGCGGAAUUCCUGGUGUAGCAGUGAAAUGCGUAGAUAUCAGGAGGAACACCGGUGGCGAAGGCGGCUUUCUGGACAGAUACCGACGCUGAGGCACGAAAGCUAGGGGAGCAAACAGG
This 253-nucleotide ribosomal RNA is filed under the name uncultured bacterium. RNAcentral describes it as "partial 16S ribosomal RNA". It matches the Rfam family "Bacterial small subunit ribosomal RNA", at positions 524 to 776 of the family's 1533-position model. The record is from RNAcentral.